RNAcentral lists this long non-coding RNA (18530 nucleotides) under Homo sapiens (human). RNAcentral describes it as "non-protein coding lnc-CENPP-20:3". The record is from RNAcentral. Lineage: Eukaryota; Metazoa; Chordata; Mammalia; Primates; Hominidae.
AGACCUGGGAUGGGGAGGCAGUGGGAGGAAACAGGUGCUGUGUGAGCAUUACUGGCUGACCGACUCUACCCCGGACACCCAUGGUCACAUCACCAUCCACCUCCUAGCUGAGGAGCCUGAGGAUGAGUGGACCAAGCGGGAAUUCCAGCUGCAGCACGUUGUCCAGCAACAUCAACGGAGGGUGGAGCAACUGCAGUUCACCACCUGAUCCGACCACAGCAUCCUUGAGGCUCCCAGCUCCCUGCUCGCCUUUAUGGAGCUGGUACAGUAGCAGGCAAGGGCCACCCAGGGCGUGGGACCCAUCCUGGUGCACUGCAGGUGACAGCAGCUCCUCAGGGGCUGUCCCUGCGGUGUGGGCAUGGGCCGGACAGGCACCUUCGUGGCCCUGUCGAGGCUGCUGCAGCAGCUGGAGGAGGAGCAGAUGGUAGACGUGUUCCAUGCUGUGUAUGCACUCCGGAUGCACCAGCCCCUCAUGAUCCAGACCCUGAGCCAGUACGUCUUCCUGCACAGCUGCCUACUGAACAAGAUUCUGGAAGGACCCUUCAACAUCUCUGAGUCUUGGCCCAUCUCUGUGACGGACCUCCCGCAGGCGUGUGCCAAGAGGGCAGCCAGUGCCAAUGCUGGCUUCUUGAAGGAGUACGAGCUCUUGCUGUAGGCCAUCAAGGACGAGGCUGGCUUUUCCGCACCCCCGCCUGGCUAUGAGCAGGACAGCCCCGUCUCCUGUGACCGUUCUCAGGGGCAGUUUUCUCCGGUGGAGGAGAGCCCCCCUGACGACAUGCCCGAAGCCUGGCUCUUCCCUCCAUAGGAAUUCUGGCCAACGGAGAUGCAGCCCGUAGUCACAGACAUGGUGACGGUGCACUGGGUGGCUGAGAGCAGCACAGCAGGCUGGUUCUGUACCCUCCUCAGGGUCACACAUGGGGAGAGCAGGAAGGAAAGGGAGGUGCAGAGACUGCAAUUUCCAUACCUGGAGCCUGGGCAUGAGCUGCCCGCCACCACCCUGCUGCCCUUCCUGGCUGCUGUGGGCCAGUGCUGCUCUCGGGGCAACAACAAGAAGCCGGGCACACUGCUCAGCCACUCCAAGUGUUGUUGGACAAUGGUCUUGGGGGAGUGGACAAUGGUCUUGGGGGAGCGGACACUGGAAGCCCCUCCCUGCCCUUCUGGCAUAGCCUCAGAUCUCCCUGGGCUCUGCUUGGGUUAUGGGUCAAAAGGACACAGUCUCACAAUGCCCCUGUCUUCUCCACACCCUACCCUGUCCUCAGGAAUAUGGUGGGAAUUUACCGCCUCCCUCCCUAGGUCCAGGCUGGCCGGCUGACCAAGUGUCCGGUGUCCCUUCUCAGUCCCUGCGCCCAGGUUGGGUUUUCCCACAUCCGUGGACACCCCCGCCACACCCCCUUUAGGUACCUCAUCCACCUCUAGGUCAGUUGCAGCAAGGGUGCAACCCAGCUGGGCACCUUCCUGGCCAUGGAGCAGCUGCUGCAGCAGGCAGGGUCUGAGUGCACCGUGGAUAUCUUUAACGUGGCCCUGCAGCAGUCUCAGGCCUGUGGCCUUAUGACCCCAACACUGAAGCAGUAUGUCUACCUCUACAACUGUCUGAACAGCGCGCUGGCAGACGGGCUGCCCUGAGUCAGCACUGGUCACGGUGCAGGAGAGGUUUGUGCCCUGUGGGAUGGGGACAGCAUUCCUGACACAUCCACGUGGGCCUGGGCUCCCUGGAAGGGCGGCCUCCACUGGGCCCUGUGCUGGGAAGGUACAGGGUCUUGGAAUAAAGACCUGUGGCCAAGCCUGAAGCUCAGUGUGUUCUGUCUGUCCAUCCUCAGGCCUGGGCCCAGCGUGUGGGUCUCGUGGGCAAACAUGGAGCCGGGAUGGAAGCUAGGACCUGGAGUCUGGUUGAACUUGGUGACCUAUGGCCCCUAUGCUGUUGGUUUUUCCCCUGAAGCAAUCCUCUCCCUGCUAAUCCUCCAGUUUCUAAAUUUCCUCAGACUUUGGUCUCUCCACGUCUAGUUUCCUGUGGUGCUAAGCCCUGGAUUCAGAAUCACAGCUCCAAAUUGUUUGUCCUCUGCCUCAUCACCCUGUACGCACCAUGCUGUAUGCAGUAGGGUUUAUCCUGUUUCCCACUUCCCUUCUCCUGCCAUCCCCAGCCUUCUCUACCUGCCAGAGCCCCCAGGGGCCACCCUCAGCCCCCACCAGGAUGGAGGUGCCAGAGCUACCCUGUUACUCGGAAGGCAGGUGCUGGAGGCACCCCUCAGGCGGAGGUGCCAAGUUUUCCCUGCUCCUUCUCUGUCUCCUUCUUCCUCCCCUCUACAUAAGAGGUGGGGGAGAAAGCAGGGAAGGCAUAUGGAGAAAGGAAAAACCAGGAGGAGCAGCAGAGACCAGAAAAGAGGGUGGGGAGGCAGCUGUCUGUCCCACACACUGUAGGACUGCACUGCAUACCAUGUGCAUGAUUGCUGGUGGCCACAUGAGCUCCUGCCUGCUUCCCUGGUCAGGCUGGGAGUUUCCAGGUGCAGUGCCUGAUGCUGGACACUAACUGCCCCUGGUGGAAGGCCCUGGGAGGACACAGAGAAAGCCUGGAAAGAUCAGAGCAAGAGUCCCUGAAAUGGAGUCGGGUCUCCCCAAGGGGAAGCGGGGAGAGCUCUUUGGCCAACCUGAGUUCCUACUAAGGUGCAACGGGUCAGAAGUCAGGAGGGUCCUUCUCAGGCCUGGUUGAAGAAGGGUACAGAGGUCGUGCUGGCUGCUCAGCCGGGAGCUUUCCCAGAACGAGACUAAAGCACUGGUGCCCUCCCAGGAGGACUAAAUGCCGGUGUCCUCCAUAUGCCAUGUUUAUCAGGAGCUGAGGGUGGGCCCCCUAAUGACCCUCACAAAAGCAGGCUGGAGGCUCUGCUCUGAGCUGCCCAAGUCUGUCUCAAGCAGCUGCUGCUGAGGUUGCAACAGGGCUCAACCAUGGCUUUUCCACUCUGGGAAAAUCUCACAUUGGAGCAGCAGGAGCUGCAAAUGAGAUGGAGCCAAGGCUAUGGUUGAGUGAAGGAAGUGCAGGCUGGCCUGUGGUAGCUUUCUGCCAUAGGGCAAAGGUGGCUCUAUCUGUGAGUCUUUCUGGUCAUGUAGGCCCAUCCUCUAGCCUUCUUAGGAGGCUCAUCUUCUACUUUCAGCGCCAUGGCACCAACGGGAGGCCUAGGGUCAGGGUCUGCUCAUUUCUUGGUCCGGCUAUGCAGCCCCUCUAGCCCUGGGAGGUUAUCGGAGAGUGGAGAGGUGUUGAUGAGAGGAUUCUGGCAUGUGGAAGGACAGGGUGGAAGAAAUCCUGGAUGCCUCUGAGGUCCCAGGUUUCUGGUAUACCCUCUGGCUGGACCAUGGGGAGACAGGGCAAAAAAGGAAGGAGGGGUGCCCACAGCCUGCUCUAGCUCUGCACUGGGGCUUGGCUCAGCAUGGGAGAGACCAGAGACAGCAAGAGGCUGCGUGAAGGAAGCACAGCCAGCUCACUAUGGUCUAAGGAGAGAACAGGGAUUGGCCUCAGUUUUAACCACCGUGCCCUUUGCUCACCAGGGCUCUGGGGCCGGCCAGGUCAGCCAGUUGGUGGGAUUCCAGCCUCAGGGUGGCCGAGCUGCAGGUGCAGCACCCGGCCUCCAGGUGGCGCCAAUCUGCUUACUUUGAGGUGGCCUCUUGACAAGCAGCUGAGCUGCACGCAGUCCCUCAGCCUGCCGAGGUCCUGGGAGCAGGGAUCAAGGUGGUCCCCGUAAACCUGACAGUAAACCUGACAGAGGCUGCAGGAGUGCAUUUCCACCCAGGGUGCACUCAGCGAGUGGAACUCCACACCCGUUUCUUUGGAGUCAAGGCGCGACCUCUCAGGGAGGAGACUGCUCCUGGUUGCCCACUGCCGGGUCAUCCCAGCUUGCAGUGGAACCCUCCGCAGCCUGGCCUCUUCCAGGGUAGCCCCUCACUCCCCUCUCUCUUGUCCUAGGAUAAGGCCGAGGAGGGCUGACGAGUUCCAGCUCUGGGGAUGCCCUAUCAGCUGUGUCACCUUGAACAAAUCAUUUCUCCUCUUGGGUCUCUGUUUCCUCCAGUGUGAAACGUGGUGAAGGCAUGAGGGGCUAUGAGAGCCCCAAGGCCUCUUUCAGAGAUCUCCUCUGGGUCCCAUGUGACCCCGUGGCUAUCCCCAAAGGCAAGAGGGUCCCCAGCCCUGCAGCCAAGGCCCUGGGACACCCUUUCUAAACAAGUGCAGGUCUCUGACGGGCUGAGCUUUGCUCGCUUGGGUUUCUUUGCUUUUUUCCUUUUUUUAUCUUUCCUGAAUGAAAUUCCUGCCAGCUCCGAAGGAAGGAGGGAAGGGAGCUAGCCGCAGCGUAGAAAGUUUCCUUGACUCCUCCUCCGGCUGGGUCUCCCUCCCUUGCCAAGCCCAGCCUGUGAAACUGAAUAACGAAGAUCACUCAACAAUGCCUGCUCCUCUCUGACUGCACCGCCCCGCCGCCGACGCCCAGUAGAGCCCCCGGGGCGGUCCCCACCGACGGCGCAGCCCGCCGGGACCGGGAGAAAGCAGCUGCGGACACCGCGCCCGUGCGUCUGCGCGCCUGGCCGCCAGGUGACCCAGCAGCCCGGCCGCCGAGAUGCCCAACCCGCCCAGGCUCCGGGCGCUGUGACUUCGCGCCGCUGUGUGCGCCUCCCCGAGCGCCGGCUGCGCCCCCCAGCCCGGCCCGGGGCCUACCGCCUGCCCGGCCCCCUGCCACUGCCAGGAGGACGGCAUCAUGCUGUCUGCCGACUGCUCUUGAGCUUGGGCUGUCCGCCAUACCGGGGGACCUGGAUCCCCUGACGGCUUACCUCAGAGCAGUGCCCAGGAUGGUGGCUGAGGGUAAAGCUGACAGAACUGGAGGUGGAGGUGAGGGGAGCGUGCCCCAGUGGGGUGGAAAUAAUGUCUGUUCUUCUGCCAUGGUGAGGACAACAGGGCUGUCACACUGAGGCUGGGUGGCCUUCUUUGGGGGGGGGGUCCCAGAAGCUGGGAGGGGGGCCUUAUCCACUCUUGUCUCCUCAGAAAGGGACUCUGCCAGCACCAUCUCCCUUUACUGGGGCCUCCCGGCUCCCCCAGGGGCCUCCCUAAAGUCAUGUCCCAAGAGGCUGUGUUGGAGACACUAAUUUGUGGGCAGGCGCGGAGGCUGAAAAGCGGAGAACCAUUUUUAGCGUCUGAGUUGGGGUUGGGAUGUCCUCCUCCACUCCAAAAGGCACAGGCUGUGGGCCAGGUAAGGGAGUGAGAAGAGAAAAAUAAUGCCCAUCUUCUAGAAGGACAAAUGGAAUCCUUCACAGUGCAGCAGGUGACGGCGGAGGCAGUCAUGGGAAUAAAGCUACCAACUGCACAGAGGCUGGGUGCUCAGCAUCUGGCAAAGCAGGGCAGGCUCCGGCCCCAGCCCACACCCAGGCCAGCCCUGCUUUCAGCAGUUUUCUAUCCUGGGAGUAUGUGACAUUGGUUCAUUGGAAGACAGGGUCCUGUGGCUAAAGAGUUUAGAUAUGACUUCUGUGGAGCCUUUCUCUGGGUGAGCUGAAGGAAGGUCCCUUGCCUGGGUUGAAGGGGCAGGGGAGAUAAGGCCUUCCAGAGCUUCCUUUCCCAGUGUUAAGUCUUCCUAGACUGAUUAAUGAUCCUUUUUCUAGAAGGACCUGGGGUAGGAGGUACACUGUCACCUUUGGAAUUCAAGCAUCCUACCAUCCAUGCUGGCAGAAGAUUUUCCCACUAACUUGUCACAAUUCCCUGGGAGCUGUGAAGUCUGCAUUUGGGUUCAGUGGAGGUGGGGUUUUCUGAGCUGGUCUGUGUCUUCCUGGGGAUUGAGAAAGCCCCCCUCUCUCUCAAGACUCAGGGGAUGCUUCUGAGAAUGGCGGAGAGAAGAGAGGGAGUGGGAGCUAGAAAGAGUACGAUGGGUCCUGAGGCAAUGUGGGGAAUUUAGCAGUGGGGUCUGGAAUAUUGGAAGGAGGUAGCAGAGGACCGUGUUCCCUGCCCUGGGCUGGGGAGGGGUCCCAUCAGGAUGGUGCAUGAGGGAUAUCUACAGUUGUCCUGAGGGUGUCUCAGAGGAGGAAUUUUCUUUCUUUGCCCUCUCUGGAGAACAGCUCUACCACAAAGGCACCUGAAGGUGGGGUUGAGGGCUGGCAUGGAGAAGAGCCAGGGUGGGGAAGUCUUGGGGCUCCUUUCUCUUUUCAGCGAUGUUAGGAGGUGCCCACCUUGGCCCUGCCCCAUGUAUCCCAGCCCUUGCUGAGGACAGCACAGAUUCGCAUCUGAUGAUAUAACCAGCAGUGCCUCUCUCUGGGCCACUCAAACCUUGGUUCCUUCCUAGCUCUGCCACCUACUGAGAGUCACUCACUGAACACCUCUAAGCCUCAGGUUCUUGAUGUGUACAUGGAGAGGAGGAAGCAUGUUGCUGAGAGGAUUAAAUGAGAUAAUAUGUUCAGUGAAAGUCCCCACAGUGCCUGACACCCGAGGGUGACUCUGAAAUGGUGGCUAGUAUUAUCAUGCCUCCUGUGGGUGCUCCGUGGAGGUGGAGGUAAACUACCAGGCCUCUCCACACCAGAGGGAAAUUGAGCCUAGUGGGAAGUAGCAGGCCAGAGAGGACUCGAAGAUCCUUAGAAGGAGCCAUAGACGGAACCAUAGGAGGCGCCCAGGAGCUAUGGGCUCCAGAAGUUUCCUCCUAAACUGUGGUCUCAGCGAGGCUCAUUGACACUCACCGGGGUUUCGACAUUCUCCCUGGCUAGGGCCUGUUCUGGAAAUAGACCAAGGGGGAGAUGGAGCCCCUGGCCGUGGGACAUCCAAUCUGAUGGUGAUGAGAAGGCAUGAUGCCUCUUGUUCUAUUCUUUUUUGUUUCUUCUUUUUUUUUAAAUAAAAAAGACCAGUAAUGUGCUGACUUCAUAACAAGGUUUGAGGGAGGCACUUCUCACACGUGAGCAUGAAAACCCAAUCGUCACGCUUCUUAACUGCAAAAGGAUCACCUCUUGUUCUAUUGUAUUGCAUGUACACAUGAUGCACAGACAGGAAUACACAGACAGCAAAUAACUUGUUGGGCAGAUAAUCCCCGGAGUUGUUCCUGAGUAGAAAGAUCUGGGUAGUUACUCUGGGCCCCCAAGGCUGAGCAGUGUCAGUAAACAGAUGGUGCCAGAAAAGGUAUCUCACGCAGCUAGUUGUGAAAGACGUCAGGCUCAUGCACUUGCAGUCACACCUAAGCACCCAUUUUCAUAGCCCACUGCCACCAGGGCUGAGGGAGGGGCCGCUACACCAUGCAACCCCCACUUCAGACUGCUGUUUGCUUUCUUGGGAAUUAUAACUUUAAGAUUGCCUGUGAUAACUGAUAACCACUGGACUUGUUUGAAAGGUUAGAUGGUGUGUGCAUGUGUGUCUGUAUGUGCGUGUGUGUCUGUGUGUGUCUGCGUGUUUCUCUGUGUGUGUGUAGAUACAGGGUAAUUUGCAGGGGAUGUCUACAGCCAAAAUGAUGGAGGCAGGAUGCUGGAGGCAGAGAGUAAGGGGUUGUGGCAUUUGCCACAACAAAGCAGAGUUCAAACUAUCACUUACUAGCUAUGUAACCCCCAGCCAGUUGAUUAGCCCUUCUGUGACUUAGUUUCCUCACCUGUAAACAGGGUUAAGAUCUACCUCAUAGGGUUGUUGUGUGGAUUCACUUAGAUGAUGUUUGCAAAGGGUUUGGCAUAAUGUCUGGUACAUGGGAAGAGCUCAAUAAAUGUUAGCCAGUGCUGUUAUUAGGAUAACCAGGGCGAAGAAAUGUCAGUCAUGGAAGUCUUCCUGGAGGAGGAAGUCCUGGAGCUAGCAUGGGAGGGAGGGAAGCAGGCCUAUUCUAUGAAAGGUGUAGGAUAGGUGUGUGUGUAGUUGCGGGCUGUGAGAGGUGCAAGAAGCUGCGAAGAAGAUGGAAUGAGCUCUGCUGGGAACCCAGAGUAAUUUUAGGGUUUUUUUUUUUUGUUUUUUUUUUUUUUAGAAUACAGUCUGAAAAACCAGGGAGGGGAGGGGAGCACCUGAUGGAAGACGCCAGCGUGCUCCCUUACAUGGUCUAGACGGGCCCCUGCAGGGGCUACAGAUGAGGAGGCAGAGAAACAGGCGGCCUUAACAGGGGAGAGCCAGCCUUGGAGAGGAUGUAUUGUGAAUUGGGGGUGGGGGUGCCAACGUGCCAGGUCUCAUUUCUCACUUCCAAGGCCACCCUUCCCUGGCCCAGUCUUAGUCGCCCUUUCUAAUAGAUUCUAAGAGUUUGACUCCUCCUUCCGGAAACUUGGGGUUUGUGAGUUCUAAUCUUCAGUCUCUCAGUUGCUAUGAGACCCUGUGCAAGUCCCAAAACUUCCCUGGACCUCAAUGUCCAGAGAAGCCAUGUUUUGGAUGAAAAACUAGAAAGUGGGAGAGGCAGGGCGCAAUCCUCUUUGAGUCUCCUGCUCCUGGUGUGGGACAGAGAAAGCUCCCAGGGAGAGCUGCUCAGCUGCAGGCAGUGAGGGAAGGGAAGGAGGGAAGGGGAGGACCCAGGCAGCAUCCAGACCAGGGUGGGGAAGAGAACUUAUUCUUAAGCAACUUAUUCUUAAGCAGCUUCCUGUUCUCUUAGCCUUGAACUUGAAGCCAGGAAUAGGGACAGGGAUAGAAGAGCCAAGGCUUGGAGCCGCUGGCCUAUGCAGAUGCACUUGCUUGUCCAGCAACAGUUGGACAGGGCCUGGCCUGGGCAAUGUGCUCCGGGGUGCAUGGAAAAUGUGGUCAUUCUUUGUCCGGGGGAUUCUUCUUAUUCCCUCCCAUUUCUCUUUACAGAGAAUUUUACACUUCCUUGCAGACACUGAAUUAUUGUGUUAAAUUAUUAUAACUUAAUAGCUUGUGAAAUAUACAAACAACAAGAUUAUGCCGACAUGGCUGUUAGAAGACAAGACAAAUUAGCAGACUCAUGCUCAUUUCUGUCAUUGAACAAUUCGUCUCAUUCCUUCCUCAAGGCGCUGCCGUUUUCCUGCUCUCCGUCCGUGGGGGUGUUUGUUUACACAUCUCUCGCAAGAAAAGCGCUUCUCUCUGGCUUCCCUCUGCCUCCCCCCCUCCUUCCUGCCCUCUCCCCUGCCUUCCCUUCCUCCUUCCUUCUCUCCCUCCCUCCUUUUCUCCCCGUUCCUUUCUUCCCUUCUCUCUGUCCUUCCCCCUUCCUUCCUUUACUGAUGUAACAACCUUGGUGUGCCGUGGCUAAGCCACACUCCACCCCUGACCUGCGGGGGAUGAGUCAAACGGUCAGACUUGCCUGGGCUUGUUCCACGCUCCCCUGGCUAGACAGGCGUCUACACAUUCUCAGUUAGGGGCUGGACAGGGGCAGCUGCUAGACAGGUCCUAUUCUGGGCCUCUCUGAGAAAAAGUGUCCCUGAAAAGAAAGGGAGCUCCCACUUCCAUGGACCCUUAGCCAUGCCAAGGGGCAGUACCGGCUUUCUGCUGGUGCUGAUGAGCUGUGGUGUGAACUCACGAAGGUCAGCUGAUUCACGGGCCCUGGAUCUCUGCUCUCCUUCCGCUAAGUGGGACUCGGGCCAGCCUGCCAUGAAGGAGGUAGCUGCUGCAGCUUUCAGGAAGGAACACCAGGUGUCAACCCCACCGGGUGGCCAACCCCACCUGGCUAGGACCCAGUCCCUGGUGGCUGCUCUCCCGAGAGGCGGGCAGGGCUGGGGCUAGGGGCUGUCCAGGAGUGUUCUGGACUGUCCCUUCGCCACAAUUCCCACAGGCUGCUCAGGACCGAGGCUGAGACGGGCGACCAGGACGGGAUUGUAUGGCUGCAGGAGGCUACACAGUCCCAGGAGGCUGCUUCUAAGAGGCCCACGUGGCCUGCAUGGGGAUGCGCCUGGCUGUCCAGCAUGUGGUCAUUUGAAUUGUACAUGUUUCACUGGGAUGCCUACAGAAAAGUAGACAGAAGAUGUGGAAAAAGUUUUUGAAAUGUUGCAAACUUAGCUACUUUUAAAAUAAAAAAAAUAGCUUUAUAAUUAUAAAAGCAAUAUGUAAAUCUUAAAAUAAUUUGCUACAUUCUAGUAAGCAUCUUAUGAUCUCUAUGUGCCCUAUAACAUUAUGUUGUAUAGUUUAAAUAUAUACAAUAAAAUCUAUUUUAAAAAAUAGCAGGCAAUUAAAUCUCAUUUUAAAAAGAGUCAGUUUAACUCCCUUCUAAUUUCUACCCCUCGUUUUCCCUCUGUGUGUGUGUAUGUGUGUAUGUCAUCUUCGUUAAAUGGCUCAAUGCAUUCCGAAUAUUUUUUCCGUUGUCUUCAUGAUAUAUUCAUGGGAAGGGGAGUAUGUGGCUUAUUGCUGUUAGUUUAUCAAUAGAGAAUGCUGGCCAAAUGUCUUUAAGAGUAAUGACGAUCUCAAUAGCGGUAAUGACAGCUACCACUUUCGGAGCUCCUCCUGCCUACCAGGCACCACUGGGGUCCCUCUCUGCAGCCCCUCACGCCAUCCUCCUAGUCACUUUCUGAGGUGUGUGUGGUCAUCCUCCCAUUUGCAGGAGGGCUCUGAAGCACAGGAAGGUUCGAUACUUACCCCAUGGCCGGGAUAAGAUGGGCCAGGGCCAGGCUGUGAACUAAGGCAGAGAAGGGGCUCUCCAGCACCUUUCCUGAGCCCUUGCCUCCUCUGCCUCUGCCCCAUGGCCAUCUGGUGGGUGGACACAGCUAAGCCAUGGCUAGAACCCAGCAUUCUCAUGACUGCUUUAACCAUAGAAAAUCACAAGUUGCAAGCAACGGGACACACAUUUACUUGUCUACAUUAGCACUUGUGAUGAAGAUAAUUCAUGCUAUUUUUUUCCCCAUUCGGAACGUACCUGUCCUUAGAAUAGUUAGAGAAGUUUUAUGAGGAUUGUGUAACUAGCAUUAACUUAGGUCACCUAAUUCUUGAUCAACCAAAUCGCAGGUCAAACAAAGGAGGCCUAUGCCUUCAUAGAAAGCAUCAGUUAAUGUCCAUUUAAAAACUGAUGCUGGCCGGGCCCGGUGGCUCAUGCCUGUAAUCCCAGCACUUUGGGAGGCCGAGGCGGGUGGAUCACGAGCUCAGGAGAUCGAGACCAUCCUGGCUAACACGGUGAAAACCCAUCUCUAUUAAAAAUACAAAAAUUAGCUGGGCGUGGUGGCACAUGCCUGUAAUCCCAGCUACUUGGGAGGCUGAAGCAGGGAGAAUUGCUUGAACUCUGGAGGUGAAGGUUACAGUGAACCAAGAUCGUGUCAUUUCACUACAGCCUGGGUGACAGAGCGAAAGUCUGUCUCAAAAAAAAAAAACAAACAAACUGAUGUUGCAUCUUCCAGUCUAAAAUAAAAAUACAUUGUUAACCAUUUUUAUGUUUACAAAACCUACAGUUUUAUAGUUCUAAAAGUAGUACAUGUUCAUUACUUUUUAUUUAUUUAUUUAUUUUUUGAGACAGAGUCUCACUCUGUGGCUGGAGUGCAGUGGCGCGAUCAAGGCUCACUGCAAGCUCCGCCUCCCGGGUUUACGCCAUUCUCCUGCCUCAGUCUCCCGAGUAGCUGAGAUUACAGGCAUGAGCCACCGCGCCCAGUCCAUGUUCAUUACUUUUUAAAGAUCAGUCAAUUAAAGCUAAUUUUUAAGAAAGAAUUAAGCUUAUAUAUUCUUCCAAUGUCUAACAUCUAUUUUCUUAUAAGUGUGUCUUAUUUCAUGGAAAUAAUGCCUCAUUUAUUAUUUUAGUAAGUUUUGGCAACCUAGUUAACUCAGUUCACUUGUCCAGUAUGUCAAAUCUUCAUUUUACUCUGGGACCAACUGUGAAGACAUCUGGAACCAAGGGGUGUGGUAGGGGUUAUAUGGCUCUGUUGUUUGUAGUUAGCUUUGCAUUUUUGCUUCUUGAUCAUUAGAUCAGAAACUAGACCUCAUCUCAUGAGUGCUUAUGUAUUGAUUGAUUAUUUGGGUCAGUCAGGGUUGCUGACAUUUGAAAUGCAUGCAGGGUAGGAAUAAAAUGGUUGUGAUGCAUUUGGUUAGCAAAUAGCCCACUUUCCCAGGACUGAUGAGAGGGACAUUUGGAGGCUCAUGACAGGCAGCAUGAUAGAGGGGAGUCAGCCUGGUCUCACCGGCAGGUCUUCAAAGCUCAGACUUUCGUGUCUGUGGAAGGCUGGGUUACACGAUUUAACAAAAACAAACCUGAAGAGUCCUCUUGUCAUUGGUAAGCUCCCAUCCCCAGAAAUCAUCCAGUAUAUUUCUCUCUCCACACCUGGGAGACACUUUCGAUUCAUCUAGAAGUUUCUUGAAUUGUUCUUUGGCUAGCAGCAAUUUACUUUUCUUUUCCUUGUAUUCUUCUUUUAUUCUUGUCUUGACAAACUGUUCAAAUAUCUUAAAACACAGACACAGAAGAAAAACAUCUGACAUUUUGGUAUCUUUCAUCUGACCAUCCAUAUCCAAUGUUCUCAUUUAAACAUUACCCAGCAUCAUUGUUUAUAAUCAGAAACUCUGGUCCUCCUGUCUGGUGGCACUUAGAGUCUUUUGUGCCAUAAUGCAGCAGUAUGGAGGGAGGAUUUUAUGGGGAAAUGGGGAUAGUCUUCAUGACCACAAAUAAAUAAAUAAAGGAAAACUAAGCUGCAUUGUGGGUUUUGAAAAGGUUAUUAUACUUCUUAACAAUUCUUUUUUUCAGGGACUUUUCUAGCAGUAUGACUGUUACUUGACCUUCUUUUAAAAGCAUUCCCAAAAUGCUCUAUUUUAGAUAGAUUAACAUUAACCAACAUAAUUUUUUUUAGAUCGAGUCAGCAUAAAUUUCUAAGUCAGCCUCUAGUCGUGUUUCAUCUCUUUCACCUGCAUUUUAUUUGCUGUUUGUCUGAAGAAAGGAAAGAGGAAAGCAAAUACGAAUUGUACUAUUUGUACCAAAUCUUUGGGAUUCAUUGGCAAAUAAUUUCAGUGUGGUGUAUUAUUAAAUAAAAAAAAAACUUUGUUUCCUAGGUUGAAGGUCUAAUUGAUACGUUUGACUUAUGAUGACCGUUUAUGCACUUUCAAAUGAAUUUGCUUUCAAAAUAAAUGAAGAGCAGCUGUCCUUCUUUCCUCUUUUAAGUGUUCAGCUGUGGCAUGCUCAGAGGUUCCUGCUGGAUUCCAGCUGGAGCAGUGUGAUACCCUUCUUUUUCAGCUGUUCGUGCCUUCCUUUCUUGUAUCCACCAAAGUGGAGACAAAAACAUGAUCUCAAAGAUACACAGUACCUACUUAAUUCCAGCUGAUGGGAGACCAAAGAAUUUGCAAGUGGAUGGUUUGGUAUCACUGUAAAUAAAAAGAGGGCCUGGGAAUUCUUGCGAUUCCAAAAAAAAAAAAAAAAGAAAAACAUCAUGAAAUUGCAUAUUAGAAAUGAAAUCUUGUAUUCCAAGCACAACAUGAGAAAGCAGCAAGAAUCUAUGGCAAAAGCUGUUCUUGUUCACAGCUGCUGGAGUUAUGAGCAAUAGCCUUUCAGCAUAGCUCUCAAGGAUCCAAGCGGUCUGAAUAAUUAAACCUGGGUCCCCACACGGCCCGGCGUUUCUCUACAUGCAGGUGCCAUUUCUGGGUCAAAUGUGAAACAGCCCUGCUGGAGAAACCCGGAGAAUGACUUGGCUGCCCUCUCUGCAGGCGUCUGGAACCAAGUGGUGGUUUGGAACCUGUGCUGUAGGCUGCAGUGGUCCUCACUGUGGCCUCUGAGCAGCAUCCGUCAUGCGCGGCCUCCUCACUUUCUCAUCACGGCCAGUGGCACCAGAACAUAGUAGAGCACUUAGUUCAUGCUAGUCACUUCCUAGGGUGACGUAAUUGACAUUCUCCCAAAAUGAGUCUCCCAAAAAUGACCUUAACUUGUGAAAAGAAAGUAAAUUCUGCAUCUCUGAUCCCCACUUGUGAACCUGGGUGUCUGGCACCUUGGGGAGGACUCAGGGCGCAUAAGCGGCCUCUUCUGAGGAGGUCACGGGAUGCCAGGCUGCCUGGGUCAUCAGUGUGGAAACAACUGGCCAGGAGGCCUGACCCUCAGGUACUGGGCACGCCCCUGUCUGACCAGAAAUGCAUCUCAAAUGCUGCCCCAAACAGGAAAACCCUGUUCUUCAGUGGGAAGAACACGCACAUCAGCCGGCAGGCAAUUCUGGGCAAGUCUCCAGGGCACUUCUCCUGGAACCUGGCAGCCCACAUAACGAGAUGCAAUCUCUUUGUGACAGGCCACAGAACCUCUUCUCUGUCAGAGUAAGAUGGAUCACUGUUCUAACAACUGAAAAACGGUCAUUUAUGGACUACAGAGUCAAAGAGGGACAAAGUUCUUUCAUUCCUCAUGCUACCCCAAACUCAAGAAUGUUAAAAAUAAACUGAAGAUAAGUGCUUAUGCAAACAUAAAUAAAAAUAUCAAGAGAAAGUCCACAUAGGAUCCUAUAAGGCCAAUAAAUAGCAACUGUGCACCAAUCCAACCAACUGCCAGGCCGAUCCUAGAAUGUGACCGAGGACCAAGCAGGCAGCUUCUUCUACACUCAUGCCAAAUUCCAUGUCAGUAGUGGCAAACCUUUACAGGAUUAUGAAUACAAAAUGCCACUGGUCUCCUGAAGAUACAGCAGCAAAAUGAAACAUCCACAAAUAUGACUUAAAUUGAGAAUAUGUGCAUGUCUAUAACUCCACCCUUCACUGUGCUGCGGUUGUUCUCUGGACCACUCCUAUUUCAUCAGUGUUAUUGUCAACCUGAAGAACAAGCAGAAAGAGGCUCUCUGAAAUGAAAUGGAUGCUUAUUUGGGAAGAGAGCAUUGCAACGGGAAUACACAUGCCAUCGUAAAUGACAAGAAUAUUCAGGGAGGGCUGUCUCUCCCGAUCUGAAACCCCAAUUAUACCUGUGAAGGCAUGGCAUUCUGGAACACCCCAUUUCAAAAGGAGAAAUUAUAUUUGUAAAAAUUUUCAGAACCCCUACAGACCAUAACAAAGAGUAAUGUCUUGAAAACAGGCUGAGUUUAGUUGAUUUGUAAUCAAAGUUUAACCUCUUUUAGGUAGGUCAUUUUUAAAAUAAAUUAUUUUGUUUGCAAUAGUUUUACAUGUACUAAAAAUUUGCAAGAAUAUUACAGAAAGUUAUCAUAUACUCAUACCCAAUUUCUCACGUUGUUAACAUAUUAGUAGGCUAGAUUCGUCACCACUAACACUGAUACAUUAUUACUAACAAUAGUCUGCAUUUAUUCAGAUUUCUUUAGGUUUUACCCAAUUUUCUGUUUUUGCCCAGGACCCCAUCACAUUUGGCUGCCAUAUCUCCUUGGACUCCUCUUGGCUGUGACAGGGUCUCAGACGGCCCUUGCCGUUGAUGACCUUGAUGGUUUGAAGAGCCCUAAUCAGGUGCAUUGCAGGACGCUCCUCAGUUGGGAUUUGUCUGAGGCUUUCCUCGUAAAUAGCCUGGGGUUAUGGGUUUUGGGAGGAAGACCACACAGAUAAAUGCCAUUCUCAUCAUGUCAUAACAAGGGUACACACGCUGCUGACAUGACUCUUCACUGACAGUGGUGGCUGUAGUCGGCUGGCUGAGGUCUCCCCACUGUGAAGUCCCCCUCUCCAUGCUGUACUCUCUGGAAGGACGUCGCCAUGCACAGCCGACACUUAGGGGUAUGGGUUGUGCUCCACUUCCGAGGAGGAGAAGUAGCUACAUGAGUGACUGGGAAAUGUCCUGGGGGGGAUACUCAUCCAUGCCUCCACAUUACUUAUGUACUCAAUCUUUUAUUUAUAUUGCUAUGGACUCAUGGAUACUCAGCCCAUGCUCGGGCUGGACUCCAGUGUGACUUUGCUUCUUUUCCUGCUCAGCUUCUUCGAGGUUGGCCUUGGUGAGCUCCCGUGGUGGGUUCCCAGCUCCUGUGUGCCUCUGACAGGUGCUCAUCACUUGGCUUUUUGGGCAUCUCCUUAAUUUCUGCUACUAAAGAUGCUCCUGGCUUAUCUUCUGCAUGUCCUGCCUUUGCCCUUGAAUCAGUCAAUUCUCCAAGAAGCUCUGGCUCCUUUCCUAGAACAGUGUUAGAAACCAAGAUCUGGGCACUGGUGUGUUCAUUGCUAGUGAGGUGUUGUUGCUUCUAGACUCUCUCAGCUGAUAGAGCAAGGGAAUGUUUAAGCCAUUUAGAACAUAAAUGCAUUCAUUUAAAAACAUGGACUAUGUAUUCACUGUGCCUUGGGCCCCAAGCUGGGUGUUGAGGAUCUUGAGAAAAUAAAUCAAGGAAGCCCAUGGUCUAGGGUAGUGCUGGUGAGGAGAUAACAGACUCUUGAGAUGGCACUAGGGCCAUGGCGGAGACAGACCUGGACACUAGUGGGACCCAGCAAAGACCCACAGCAGCCUGGGGAGGCGGCUUCCAGAGUGCUGCGACUUUGGAACAUGAAUACUCCUGAGGGUUCACAAACGAGCCUGGGGGGUAUUCCAGGACCAGCUGGUAGGGGGGCAAAGGUUGGGUCAUGAACUAUGGGGAAUGCAAGAAUUGCAAGAGGUUGAACAUGCCUGGGGGUGCAGAGACAGAGGCUGAGGUGCAGGGCAGUCUGAGACAUGGUUAGGAGCCUGGGCAUUCUCUUGAGAGACAGGGGAGAAGAAAAUUCAGAUGGAGCGUUCAUUUCAGGAAGGCCACCCUGGGAUCUGGGCAGGAGAUGAAUACCUGGCAGGGUCAGGGAAGGGAAGGUAAUUGAAAGUUUACAAAAACAAAACCCCAUUCACAUUCUUAAAGUAUUCUUCAUAGAGGUACUAUUUCAAUAAACACAUGCUUUAUUUGUAUAUUAUAACAGAUGAAUUUUCUUCACUGGCAAUUUCUAUCUUUAACUGUCAAAUUUAAGCCUUUUCUGUAAUACCCAUGAGCUCUUUUAUUGGGUGGGAUGACCCAGGGUCCAGCCAGGGAUUCUCCUCCACAGAGUGAGAACACGGUGAAGCAUAGCUGGGACUCAGGGCGAGGUGGCGAUUCAGGGGGGUUUCCAGGCAGAAUGGAUCCGUUUAGCUUCGACUGAGUGCACCUGCCCCCAGGAGCGGGUCUCCAGGCAGAAUGGAUCCCUUUAGCUUUGACUAGUGCACCUGCCCCCGGGAGCAUCUGGGGCUGUUAGAGAAGCUGUGGGCAGCCUCCACUCAGCCCAAUCAGAUGGCACACACCCACCUCAUGGGGACCUGUGCACAGCUGGAUGGUCCCAGCUCUGCAGGGAGAGAGGAUUAGACCCUGUGUGGCAUAACGACACCAGUUUCUGGAAAAUGUUGGAGUUCUAGAAGUAUAAUAAAAUAAUUUUUCAAUUAAUGAUGUGUAGUUUUUGCCCCCGAAGGGAUUUAUAAUCUCUAUAGAAGGUCAGAUAAGCCAUCUCUACAAUGAUUACAACUCAUAAUGAUAAAACCAACUGUGUCAUGUCAGGGACAGUUCAGGGAAGGGUGAGAGCACAGUGGCUGGGACCCAGGAUGGAGGUGGGGGCUGAAGUGAAGGCUGCACAGCCAUGUGUGAAACAGGGUCUUUCCCUGACCUCCAGGUGGGCGCAGGACUUCUCCCAAAGGGUCCUGACAGCUAUGGGGACGAGGAGUCCUAUGAACUGCUCCUGAGGGAAGCCCGUCGUUCCCGAGCCUGUGUGAAACACUUAUGAUGCCCAGAGAGUACAUUCCAUGGGGCCACGAUUGCACACGUGUGUGUGACUAUACACACACACAUAAGCACACACACCACACAUACAAACAUUCACAGAGGCGCAUGUACACAUGCAAACACAUGAACACACCCAGGACACGCUAAGAUAUGCAUACACAGGCACACAUGUACAUAGUUGCACAAAUGCAUACAUAUGUACAAAGAUGCACACAUUGAUACACACAUGCACAUGUGUGCCUACACACACACACACACACACACACACACACAGUACCACUACCACCACCAAGGAAGUCCAACAUUGUAGAACAACCAGGGGAAGAAAGCCCGUCAACUGAGUAGACAGCAAGCUGCGUAUCUCUUUUAAGUCCGUCUAUGUCGUGGGACUGUUCUGUAAGUGGCCGUGGACAAACCCAGCUCUCCCUGUUUCUGGCUGGUACCUCUCCAGAAUGACUGGAAUGCACUGGGAAUGCAACAGACUGAGAACAAUCAGGCUUUGUUUGGGCCCCGCCCCAGAAACAAGACAUCCUUCAAGCUUUAGCCCAGCAUUCACAGGACCCCAGGGUAUAAAACCCACUGCGGGCUGCUUUCUGGGAUCCCUUGGUUACAGCAAAGGGUAGAUGCGACUCCGUCCCCUCCUUGCAGCUUUCCUGGGCCUGGGGGACUGGCUUACAAGCACCUUCAUCUUCUACCACCCUUGCUUCCUGUCUGCGGGGAAUAAACGCACUUCAGAUGAUUUGCUGCUCAUCUUCUACCACCCUUGCUUCCUGUCUGCAGGGAAUAAACCCACAUUCCCUGCCCUCCAGCACUGAAUAGUAUCCGUGGAGGACUAGUGGAGAAUAAAGAAUUUUGCUGUUGCCCAGAGAUGACCAGGCCACCCCCACGUCCUGUAUUGUCUGUGGAGGUCACAUGCGGCCAGUAAGGAGGAAUGUCUACCUCUCCCAGGCAUCGGGGUAUCAAUGGGCACCCCAAUGGGGAGCCAGGAUUGCUAUCCUCACCUAUGCUGUAAUAAAGGCCCCCCUGUGUGUAUUGAUGGAGCUCAAGUGGAAAGAUGGAUUAUACCCUCACCGAAC